UACAGGGGGGGCAAGCGUUGUUCGGAAUUACUGGGCGUAAAGGGCUCGUAGGCGGCCAACUAAGUCGGACGUGAAAUCCCUCAGCUUAACUGGGGAACUGCGUCCGAUACUGGAUGGCUUGGAUUUGGGAGAGGGAUGCGGAAUUCCAGGUGUAGCGGUGAAAUGCGUAGAUAUCUGGAGGAACACCGGUGGCGAAGGCGGCAUCCUGGACCAAUAUUGACGCUGAGGAGCGAAAGCCAGGGGAGCAAACGGG
Molecule: ribosomal RNA, 253 nt
Filed under: uncultured bacterium
Lineage: Bacteria
Description: partial 16S ribosomal RNA
Rfam family: Bacterial small subunit ribosomal RNA
Source: RNAcentral